RNAcentral lists this ribosomal RNA (470 nucleotides) under uncultured bacterium. RNAcentral describes it as "bacterial SSU rRNA". It matches the Rfam family "Bacterial small subunit ribosomal RNA", at positions 917 to 1382 of the family's 1533-position model. The record is from RNAcentral.
GGGCUCACACAAGCGGUGGAGCAUGUUGCUUAAUUCGAGGCAACGCGAAGAACCUUACCUGGGCUUGACAUGGCUGGAUUAACCCCAUGAAAGUGGGGCCACACCCGCAAGGGUGGAACAGUCACAGGUGCUGCAUGGCUGUCGUCAGCUCGUGCUGUGAAGUGUCAGGUUAAGUCCUUUAACGAGCGCAACCCCUAUCGUUAGUUGCUCGGCGCAAGCCAGUACUCUAGCGAGACUGCCGGUGUCAAACCGGAGGAAGGUGGGGAUGACGUCAAGUCCUCAUGGCCUUUAUGCCCAGGGUUGCAAACGUGCUACAAUGGCGUGCACAAAGCGGCGCGAAGCGGCGACGCAGAGCAAAUCGCAAAAAACACGCCCCAGUUCGGAUUGCAGGCUGCAACUCGCCUGCAUGAAGUUGGAAUCGCUAGUAAUCGGAGAUCAGCUACGCUCCGGUGAAUGUGUUCCUGAGCCUU